This is a non-coding RNA of Danio rerio (zebrafish), 72 nucleotides long. The record is from Rfam. NCBI's taxonomy places the organism in Eukaryota, Metazoa, Chordata, Actinopteri, Cypriniformes, Danionidae.
GGCUUGUUGGUUUAGGGGUAUGAUUCUUGCUUAGGGUGCAAGAGGUCCUGGGUUCAAAUCCCGGAUGAGCCC